AUUGAACGCUGGCUGCAGGCCUAACAAAUGCAAGUCGAGCGAGCGGCGGACGGGUGAGUAAUGUCUGGGAAACUGCCUGAUGGAGGGUGAUAACUACUGUAAACGGUAGCUAAUACCGCAUACCCUCAGAUGUGCCCAGAUAGGAUUAGCUAGUAGGUGGGGGAACGGCUCACCUAGGCGACGAUCCCUAGCUGGUCUUAGAUGAUGACCAGCCACACUGGGACUGAGACACGGUCCAGACUCCUACGGGAGGCAGAAGUGGUGAAUAUUGCACAAUGGGCGCAAGCCUGAUGCAGCCAUGCCGCGUGUGUGAAGAAGGCCUGAGGGUUGUAAAGCACUUUCAGCGGGGAGGCGUUACCCGCAGAAGAAGCACCGGCUAACUCCGUGCCAGCAGCCGCGGUAAUUC
RNAcentral lists this ribosomal RNA (406 nucleotides) under uncultured bacterium. Its description in RNAcentral is "partial 16S ribosomal RNA". It matches the Rfam family "Bacterial small subunit ribosomal RNA", at positions 30 to 526 of the family's 1533-position model. The record is from RNAcentral.